RNAcentral lists this ribosomal RNA (341 nucleotides) under Rhizophagus irregularis. The record is from RNAcentral. Lineage: Eukaryota; Fungi; Glomeromycota; Glomeromycetes; Glomerales; Glomeraceae.
CAGUCGUACUUACGGGUAAUCAGCCUCUUGGGUGUGAUUUUGUGGAGCGUGAGGAGUUAAACGCCUUUCAUGCCUGCAUAUUCGUGCACUUUGGGUGUACUUGCCCGUGUGUAAGUUAACAUCAAUUUUGGUGGUCAUAAAAUGGCUGGAGGAAUGUAGCUUCGAUCUUGUAUUGAAGUGUUAUAGACUCUGGUAGAUGUGGUGAUCGAGAUUGAGGAUUGGCAACGGAUACCCUUCGGGGCUACCUGUCUGGUCUCUGAUCGUUGCUCUGGUGCCGAAAGCUUGCUUACGGUUAUCAAAGUCGGUGGUCAAUAGGUUAGGAUGGGUUAAAUUCGUUAAGG